RNAcentral lists this ribosomal RNA (1692 nucleotides) under Deveximentum ruconius (deep pugnose ponyfish). RNAcentral describes it as "16S ribosomal RNA". The stretch from base 95 to 1584 matches the Rfam family "Bacterial large subunit ribosomal RNA". Lineage: Eukaryota; Metazoa; Chordata; Actinopteri; Chaetodontiformes; Leiognathidae. The record is from RNAcentral.
AGCCCAAUAGCUAGCCCCAAACCUAAACACAACAACCAAUCAUAAAUACCCCCGAACACCCCAAUUUCAAAAAAUAAACCAUUCUUCCCCCUAAGUAUUGGAGAAAGAAAAGGAACCAUGGAGCCAUAAAAAAGUACCGCAAGGGAAAGCUGAAAUAGAAAUGAAAAAACCCAGUACCACCAAGCCCAAAAAAGCAAAGACUAACCCUUGUACCUUUUGCAUCAUGAUUUAGCUAGAACAAUUGAGCAAAAAGAAUUUUAGUUCAAACUCCCGAAACUAAGCGAGCUACUCCAGGACAGCCAACCAUGGGCAAACCCGUCUCUGUGGCAAAAGAGUGGGAAGAGCCUAGAGUAGAGGUGAAAAGCCUACCGAGCCUAGUUAUAGCUGGUUGCCCAAAAAAUGGAUAUAAGUUCAGCCUCCCAACUUCUCUACCCAAAAUUCACUCAAGAACAAAAGAAGUGAGGAGAGUUAGUCAAAAGAGGUCCAGCUCUUUUGACAAAGGACACAACCUUAACAGCAGGAAAAAGAUCACACCAAACAAAGGAACCCCUCACCCAAAGUGGGCCUAAAAGCAGCCACCUUAAAAGAAAGCGUUACAGCUCAAUAAAAACCCUAAAAUAAGGACAAAACCAUCUUUAUCCCCUAAUAAUAGUGGGCCUCCCCAUUCACAUGGAAGAGAUUAUGCUAAUAUGAGUAAUAAGAGAAUACAAGAACCUCUCCAAGCGCAAGUGUGAAUCGAAACGAACUCUCACCGACUAUUAACGUCCCCAAAAAAAGAGGGCAAUGAACAAAACAAAAUCAACCCUAGAAAAAAAUUCAACACCACACAACCGUCAACCCCACACAGGAGCGCCAAAAUGGAAAGACUAAAAAAAAGGGAAGGAACUCGGCAAAUAAAUUAAACCUAUAGCCUCGCCUGUUUACCAAAAACAUCGCCUCUUGCACCAACCAAAGAAUAAGAGGUCCCACCUGCCCAGUGACUAUAAGUUCAACGGCCGCGGUAUUUUGACCGUGCAAAGGUAGCACAAUCACUUGUCCUUUAAAUGGGGACCUGUAUGAAUGGUAUAACGAAGGCUCAACUGUCUCCCCUUUAAAGUCAAUGAAAUUGAUCUCCCCGUGCAGAAGCGGGGAUACCCAGAUAAGACGAGAAGACCCUAUGGAGCUUUAGACCCCAGAACAGACCAUGUAAACUAACCCUUAACACAGAAAAAACUAAAUGACCACCUGUUCAAAUGUCUUUGGUUGGGGCGACCGCGUGGUACUACAAAACCCCCGCGUGGAAUAGAAACACAAACUGUUUCUGAGCUUAAGAGCCUCCACUCAAAACCCCAGAACAUCUGACCAAAAAUUGACCCGGCUAUGCCGAACAACGAACCCAGUUACCCUAGGGAUAACAGCGCAAUCCUCUUCCAGAGCCCAUAUCGACAAGAGGGUUUACGACCUCGAUGUUGGAUCAGGGCAUCCUAAUGGUGCAGCCGCUAUUAAGGGUUCGUUUGUUCAACGAUUAAAGCCCUACGUGAUCUGAGUUCAGACCGGAGUAAUCCAGGUCAGUUUCUAUCUAUCAUCACCCUUCUUCCAGUACGAAAGGACCGAAGCAGAAAGGCCCAUAGUAAAACUACGCCUUACCCUCAUUUAAUGAAACCAAAUAAAUUAACAUAAAGGAAGACCCACACCCCUCCAAGAACAGGAGAC